GAUGAACGCUGGCGGCGUGCCUAAUACAUGCAAGUCGAGCGAACGGACGAGAAGCUUGCUCCUCUGAUGUUAGCGGCGGACGGGUGAGUAACACGUGGAUAACCUACCUAUAAGACUGGGAUAACAUCGGGAAACCGGAGCUAAUACCGGAUAAUAUUUUGAACCGCAUGGUUCAAAAGUGAAAGACGGUCUUGCCGUCACCUAUAGAUGGAUCCGCGCUGCAUUAGCUAGUUGGUAAGGUAACGGCUUACCAAGGCAACGAUGCAUAGCCGACCUGAGAGGGUGAUCGGCCACACUGGAACUGAGACACGGUCCAGACUCCUACGGGAGGCAGCAGUAGGGAAUCUUCCGCAAUGGGCGAAAGCCUGACGGAGCAACGCCGCGUGAGUGAUGAAGGUUUUCGGAUCGUAAAACUCUGUUAUUAGGGAAGAACAUAUGUGUAAGUAACUGUGCGCAUCUUGACGGUACCUAAUCAGAAAGCCACGGCUAACUACGUG
Molecule: ribosomal RNA, 497 nt
Filed under: uncultured bacterium
Lineage: Bacteria
Description: partial 16S ribosomal RNA
Rfam family: Bacterial small subunit ribosomal RNA
Source: RNAcentral